Molecule: non-coding RNA, 27 nt
Filed under: Homo sapiens (human)
Lineage: Eukaryota; Metazoa; Chordata; Mammalia; Primates; Hominidae
Source: RNAcentral
GGAGAAGCAGGCACUUCACAUGGUAAA